AGAUUUUCAGCCUAUUACAGUAGCAACCCUAGGAAGCCAUAGAAUAUCUAGGUCUUCUCAACAAAUAAAAUUGAUAUGUAGACAACAAUUUCGUUGUAAUAGUUAAUUAUGAUAAAUUUUAUCAUAAUUAAACUCAUUCUCAACACUAUCCUUUCUAUAUUUAAGUUGGAUGUCAACAAAGAACUUAGGCUGCAACCUGAUGCCUUUAAUAGGCAACAACAAAGCUAAACCCUAUCAAUAUCAUCACCUUUAGCCACGAACAAGCAAAACUAUAGAAUAGGCUUCGGGAGGGUGGCUUGAGCAGGGCGCUUUUUAAUCUCCUUUAAUCUUGUGGGUCGGUCAUCUAAGGUAAGCGGAAGGACAUAAUGACCUCGAAAAUGCUCAAGUCUUAACUAUUAAAGAACCUUCCAUUGAGUUAUGGCAACUCGAAACCCAAAUAAUGACCAAUGCAAAUAUUCAAAGAUUAAACCCUCCAUUAGAAUCCUCUAUAUCCGAAG
RNAcentral lists this unclassified non-coding RNA (497 nucleotides) under Hevea brasiliensis (rubber tree). The record is from RNAcentral. Lineage: Eukaryota; Viridiplantae; Streptophyta; Magnoliopsida; Malpighiales; Euphorbiaceae.